Non-coding RNA from Rattus norvegicus (Norway rat), 4816 nucleotides. The record is from RefSeq and is a predicted model, not a curated record. NCBI's taxonomy places the organism in Eukaryota, Metazoa, Chordata, Mammalia, Rodentia, Muridae.
UUGUCUCAGCAUAGGAUCUAUGUUGGGGACAGCGUGGCAUAAGGAAGACUCAUUCUUUACACUGUGUCAAGUGCUUUGCAUGUGUGAUUUCAGCUUAUCACCAUUAGGUAUAUGGCAUUACCGAUACAUCACCGAAUAAGGUACUGAAGGCUAGAAAGGUCACGUGCAACUCGAGUCACAUCCUUCCAAAUGCUAAAGCCAGCUGACCAGGGUCUUAUGGCUCUACUCCUGACUAGUAGUGCAUUCACUGCUCAUAUUUUUUUAAAAAGAAAAAUAGUGUAACUAGCAUAUAUAUAUAUAUAUAUAUAUAUAUAUAUCAACUUAAAAAGGCAUUGUCAUGAAUUGUACACAUCCUUCAUACCCUUACCCAAGGUUACCAUCCAUUAGCAUAUUAGCAUUUGUUGCUUAUUCCUGUGCGUGCAUUUCCCACAUUAUUAUUAUCAUUAUUGUUGUUGCUGUUGUUAUUUGGAAACAGGAUCCCUCUGUGUAGUUCUGGCUGGCUUGGAACUUACUAUGAUGGCUUCAGACUCACAGAGAUCCCCCUGCCUCUGCCUUUCAAGUACUAGGCACAUACCCUCAUGCUGAUUUUUUUGUUGAAAGUUUGCAUAUUCUACAAUAUUUUCUUUUUCACCUGAUAUGAUAUUUAUAGACUCCUCAUGACAGGCCUCUUUUAGAAUCUGUGAUAAAACACAAGAACCUUGGGGAGGAAAGGAUUUAUUUUACCUCAUACAUCUACAGCAUAGUCCAUUCAUGAAGUCAGGGAGAGGACUAUCAAAUACGACAGAAACUUGGAGGCAGGGGCUGAUGUAGAGGCCAUGGAGGGGUGCUGCUUACUGGCUUGCUCAUCAUGGCUUGCUCUGCCUGCUUUCUUAGAGAACCCAGGACCUCCAGCCCAGGGAUGGCUCCACCCACAGUGGGCUGGGCCCUUCCCCUUCAAUCACUAAUUAAGAAAAUGCCCUACAGAUUUGCCUACAGCCUGAUCUUAUGGAGGCAUUUUCUUAACUGAGGCUCCCUCCUUUCAGAUGACUCUAGCUUGUCAACAUAAAACCAGGCAGCAUAAGCACAGAAAAUUAUUUUCUUUUGCAGUGACACAUAUAUGUAUUUGAUUCUAUUCUUCUUCUUUUUAUAGCCUUCUGGGUUGCCUUCCAUCUUUUGUUGAUGUAAGUGAUGUAUCUUACAGGUGCAAGUUGUACCUGUCAGGGCCGGUGCUCCUUCUCACUUUUUAUCCUAACAUUACUGUGAUGACCACCAAGUUCAUGCCAUUUGGACAAGAUCAGUGUUUUCUACUUCCUGCCUUAAGGACUCUCAAUUGCUGCUGUCGCGUGAGAUGCCCUAAGAUACGUUGAGGGCCCAACCAUUCAAAUCAGCAGCGGAGCGAGUCUUAGAGAAUCAGGAGAAAAGGAGAUGGGAGGCAGCAAGAAAGGACCCUCUUCCCCGCUCACCCUCCAACGGAUCUCGAAUCAGCAGUCACGUGGUCUUAGGAUCCCGGUAGAUGAAGUGCGUAAGUGGUACGGGAUUGUGGCCUGCUUAGUAAUAUACCCCGUUGUGCCCUCUUUUUUCUACCUCUUUCCCAUUUUCCUUUACUUCCACUUUUCUACGGUCUUGGAUGAUGCAGCAACAUAUAAAUGUGUUUGACCCAAGCCAUCCACUCGGAAGAACCAGACUUAAAAACCAGGCAUAACUCAGUUGAGGCUUUUGGAGUUGUUUUCUCUCUGAUCUGAUGCCAGUCUCAACUUGUCCACUGACUCAAAGCCAGCUAAUUGAAGUGAUGAGGUGCACAGCCUUGAGGAAGUAUCCACGACAUCAUCACAACUGUGUACUUCACUCUGUUCCUGAAGAGGCUCUCGAUCCCUCCACCCUGCAGGACAGCUCUCCACUGCGAUGGAGAGGUCAACUUCUGUUUUUAAAGUAUAUUGUUGCUGUCUUCAGACACACCAGAAGAGGGCAUCAGAUGUCAUUACAGAUGGUUGUGAGCCACCAUGUGGUUGCUGGGAUUUGAACUCAAAACCUCUGGAAGAACAGUCAGUGCUCUUAACCACUGAGCCACCUCUCUCCGGCCCAAGAGAGGUCAACUUUCUGACAGUCGACGGAAGAAACACCUUUGUAGGUUCUUUCAUAGAUGAGUCUUGACUCUAGACCAUGUAUGGAGUCUUGACUCUAGACCAUCUUUAGAUCAGUUAUGUAGUUAUUUUCCUUUAUCCCGACUACAUAAUUAGAAUAACUAUUAUUGAUACAGAAGUACCUUUUUUAAAAAAAUUAACAUUAGACUUGCGAGGAAGAACAAAAAUGCUAAUGACUGCCCUGGGAAAUUCCUUAAAGCUGCCACCACCCUUUGCCAAGAUAGUAACACACCUUCAGGGAAAUAGCAAACCUGACUGCAAAAGACCCAAACACUUCAGGGUGACGGUCUCCAGUGUAUCACAGAUUAAUUCUUGAUCUGGAAAAACAGACACUGUGGGGAAAGCUUGGAGUGCUGUGCAAAUUGGUGGCAUACACAGACCAACAUUCAACUGAUUUUUGAUGAAAGUGCUAAGAAGACACAUUAAAGAAACACCGUCCUUUCAGUGAAUGCUGCUAAGAGCUAGUUACCUUGUAUAUACACAUGCAGACAAAUGGAAGUAUAAGUCAAUCUCUCAUGGUUCAAAAAAAAAAAAAGAUGAAAGGCUUACAUGUAGCACUUAAACUAUGGCUGUCCUAGAAGGAAAUAUGGUGGGAAUGUGUCAAGACAAGGCAACGGAUUUUUAAAUAAAGCUCCAAAUCACAAGAGGCAAGCAGACAAGUAGCCUUCUCUUCAACUAAAAAGACCCAGCAAAACAACAGCCAACAAUGAGAAGAGGAAUCUACAGCACAGGAGAAAGUACUUAUGCACUAUUCACCUAACAAGAACUUAAUAUGUAGGAUUUAUAAAAGAUUAAAAGUCAAUAAUCAAACUUAAAUGAUCUGUUUUAACAAUGGAUAAUAGUCAUAAGUUGGCAUUUUGACAAGAGAAGACACAGAAGUUAUUAUUAGGGGAAAAUGCUCAAGACCAAAUUAUUGGAGAAGUACAAUUCAGAGCAAUGGUGGGCUUACUUUCCUCCAGUUAGAAUGCUAUCAUCAUCAUCAUCAUCAUCAUCAUCAUCAUCAUCAUUAAUUUUAAAACUGAAAGAAACAAGAGUUGGUGUGAAUGUGGACAACAGGGAACUCUUUCUGAUGGAAAUUAUGGAAACCAUUAUGGAAAAAUGGUAGCUCCUUAAAUAAUUAUAAUCAAAAGAUCUGGCAGUUCCACUGUUGAAUGUAUGUAUAUUCAGGGAUACAGAAUCAGUAUGCUGAAGACAUCUGCUCUCACAUGACUGCAAUGCCGUUCACAACAGGCAAGAAGUGGAAACAAGCUAAGGAUGCAUUAGUCGAUGAAUGGACUUUAAAAUGUGUCUGUACCCGCAAUGGGUACUAUUAGGCUGUGAAGAUAACAGAAACCUGGCCUUUGCAGUGACACAGAUGGGCUGGACAUCAUUGCUAAACGGAGCCGGUGCAGCACGGAACUGUGAGCAUCAUAGGCUCUCGCUCCUGUGUGUACUGAAGAAGUGUUGUUCUCAUAGAAGAUGCAAGGAUGAGCAGAGUCGUCCAGUGAGGACCAAGGCACAGUUAGAUGGCAGAAGAAGGUUCUGGUGUACUCUGGCACGGCAGGGUGAAUAUCGUCCACAGCAGUGCAUUUUAAAAAUCUAAGAGAAAGUAUUUUGAGUGUUUGCAUCAUGAAGUAAAUGAUGCGUGUCUGAGGAGAGAGCAGUUUCUAACCUGACAAACAUUAUGUAAACCGCUAUGUAUCAAAACAUUGUAUUUUCCAACGAAUGCACAUGAAUGCAAUGCAUAUGUGGCAGGUUUAAAAAUUAACUUUAAUCCACAGGGACUAUUUUUUAAAAGAAAACAAACUGGAGCGCAACAGUACUUCAGUGUGGUUUCAAUUUAUGUGUCUCUGACAAUUGCUCACGUUUCAGUUUAAUUCAGUUGAUUAUUACUGAAGCAACUGGAAACCCACUCAUCCAAGAGAAGCCAGCAUUCUGUAUGUUACUCGUCACUUGUUACAGCAACCAAUGUGGGUUCAUGUGGUUAUUUGAAUGGGAAAUGUCCUCCAUGGCUCAGGUGUUUGAACACAUGGUCCAGCUGAUGUUGCAGAUUGGGAAAACUUAGGGCUGGCCUCGCUGGAGGAAUGGCUUCCCUGUGGGAGGACUUUGAAAGGAUAUAGCCUCACCCCAUUUCCAGUUUUCAUCUUGACUUCAAGCUGGCACUGGAGGACGUGAGCUACCAGCUUCCAGAUCCUGUUGCCUUGACUGCCUUCCACCGUGAUGGACUCUUAAUGCCUCUGGCACCAUAGCCAAAACAAACCCUUUCUUCUAGAAGAUGCUUCGGUCCUAGUGUUUUGUUACAGCAGCAGUUCAGAAACUAAUACAUCCGUGAAUCAAAUGCUUGCUUGGUCUUUCAGACUGGUAAGCAUCAUCUCUUGUGUAGGUGGUGUAAUUGUCCAGGUUUGGAGAUUUGGAUGUCCCAGUCUCACGUGUUGGGCAAUUGUUUCUUGCUGGCGGUAUUUGGGAAGGUUUAGGAAUUUAGGAGGUGAGACGUAUUUGCAAGAAGUAUAUCACUGAAGAGUGACUGUGAAGGCUGGUCUCCAGUCCUCAUCCUCACUCUGUGCUUCCCACCUCCUAUGAAGUGAAGAACCACUUCUGCCACACACUCAGUCCUCCAUGACUCUUGGCUUCUUCAGGGGACCAGAGUCAAUGAAUCUAAGAGCUAUGGACAUAAAAACAUAAUGGCAUGAGAUAAAAUAAAUAGUUCUUGGAUCUGA